This 353-nucleotide ribosomal RNA is filed under the name uncultured bacterium. Its description in RNAcentral is "bacterial SSU rRNA". It matches the Rfam family "Bacterial small subunit ribosomal RNA", at positions 8 to 353 of the family's 1533-position model. The record is from RNAcentral.
AGAGUUUGAUCCUGGCUCAGAUUGAACGCUGGCGGCAUGCUUUACACAUGCAAGUCGAACGGCAGCGACAGGGAGCUUGCUCCCGGGUGGCGAGUGGCGCACGGGGUGAGUAAGUACAUCGGAACGUGUCCUGUUGUGGGGGAUAACUGGCUCGAAAGGGUGGCUAAUACCGCAUGAGACCUGAGGGUGAAAGCGGGGGAUCGCAAGACCUCGCGCAAUUGGAGCGGCCGAUGCCCGAUUAGCUAGUUGGUGAGGUAAAGGCUCACCGAAGGCGACGAUCGGUAGCUGGUCUGAGAGGACGACCAGCCCACACUGGGACUGAGACACGGCCCAGACUCCUACGGGAGGCAGCA